This 496-nucleotide ribosomal RNA is filed under the name uncultured bacterium. RNAcentral's name for it is "bacterial SSU rRNA". It matches the Rfam family "Bacterial small subunit ribosomal RNA", at positions 28 to 511 of the family's 1533-position model. The record is from RNAcentral.
GAUGAACGCUAGCGGCAGGCUUAACACAUGCAAGUCGAGGGGCAGCAUGAGACGGAGAUUCGUCGAAGUCUUGAUGGCGACCGGCGCAAGGGUGCGUAACGCGUGAGCAACUUGCCCGUUUCUGGGGAAUAACCGGUGGAAACGCCGACUAAUACCCCAUAGUAUCAGAUUUAGGCAUCUUUAUCUGAUUAAAGAAUUUCGGAAACGGAUAGGCUCGCGUGACAUUAGCUAGAUGGCGGGGUAACGGCCCACCAUGGCUACGAUGUCUAGGGGUUCUGAGAGGAAGGUCCCCCACACUGGAACUGAGACACGGUCCAGACUCCUACGGGAGGCAGCAGUGAGGAAUAUUGGUCAAUGGUCUGACGACUGAACCAGCCAUGCCGCGUGAAGGUCACGGCCCUAUGGGUCUUAAACUUCUUUUGCAAGGGAGCAAUAAGGCGUACGUGUACGUCGAUGAGAGUACCUUGCGAAUAAGCAUCGGCUAACUCCGUGCCAG